RNAcentral lists this unclassified non-coding RNA (208 nucleotides) under soil metagenome. RNAcentral's name for it is "partial contains 5.8S ribosomal RNA, internal transcribed spacer 2, and large subunit ribosomal RNA". The record is from RNAcentral.
AACGCACGAGACCUGCGGACCUGCGGAAGGAUCAUUACAUGAUUUGAGGGGGCUCACGUCCCCUCAUCCAACCCACAAACCCCGAGGAACUUUUAUGUCGAGUGGUUCGGCGCUCUCUUUGAGAGCCGCCCCUCAAACGCAUCGCAGGCUUUCGUGAAGGUCUGAUGUGUCACAUCGUGAGUAUUAAAACUUUUAGCAACGGAUCUCU